Molecule: ribosomal RNA, 493 nt
Filed under: uncultured euryarchaeote
Lineage: Archaea; Methanobacteriati; Methanobacteriota
Description: bacterial SSU rRNA
Rfam family: Archaeal small subunit ribosomal RNA
Source: RNAcentral
AGGAAUUGGCGGGGGAGCACCGCAACGGGAGGAGCGUGCGGUUCAAUUGGAUUCAACGCCGGAAAACUCACCGGAGGCGACGGAGGGAUGAAAGCCAGGCUGAAGACCUUGCCCGAUUCUCCGAGAGGUGGUGCAUGGCCGUCGUCAGUUCGUACCGUAAGGCGUUCUGUUAAGUCAGAUAACGAACGAGACCCUCGCCUUCAGUCGCUACUUCGGUCGCGAGGCCGAGGGCACACUGGGGGGAUCGCUGCCGCUAAGGCAGAGGAAGGAGAGGUCUACGGUAGGUCCGUAUGCCCCGAAUCUUCCGGGCAACACGCGCGCUACAAAGGACGGGACAAUGGGAUCCGACCCCGAAAGGGGAAGGCAAUCCUGAAACCCGUUCGUAGUCUGGAUCGAGGGCUGUAACUCGCCCUCGUGAAAAUGGAUUCCGUAGUAAUCGCGGGUCAACAUCCCGCGGUGAAUGUGCCCCUGCUCUUUGCACACACCGCCCGUC